Molecule: long non-coding RNA, 291 nt
Filed under: Durio zibethinus
Lineage: Eukaryota; Viridiplantae; Streptophyta; Magnoliopsida; Malvales; Malvaceae
Description: long non-coding RNA (DZIB_LNC002105)
Source: RNAcentral
AAGUGAAAGCAGAAGAAGGUAUCUUUUCUUGUAAUUCAACGUGUGGAAAGAAGCUUAGAUGUUGUAAUCAUUACUGUGCUGAGAUUUGCCAUCCUGGACCUUGUGGGGAUUGUGAGUUUAUGCCAAGCAAGAUCAAGUCUUGUUACUGUGGGAAAACAAGCUUGCAAGAGCAAAGGCAAAGUUGUUUGGACCCUAUUCCAACUUGUUCAGAGAUAUGUGCCAAGUUCCUUCCUUGUCAAGUGCACCAAUGUGACCAAGUGUGUCAUGCUGGGGAUUGUCCGCCUUGUUCAG